RNAcentral lists this ribosomal RNA (219 nucleotides) under uncultured bacterium. RNAcentral describes it as "partial 16S ribosomal RNA". It matches the Rfam family "Bacterial small subunit ribosomal RNA", at positions 15 to 212 of the family's 1533-position model. The record is from RNAcentral.
GAUCCUGGCUCAGGACGAACGCUGGCGGCGUGCUUAACACAUGCAAGUCGAACGGAGCACCCUUGAAUGAGACUUCGGUCAAAGGAAAGGAAUGCUUAGUGGCGGACUGGUGAGUAACGCGUGAGGAACCUGCCUUUCAGAGGGGGACGAACAGCUGGAAACGGCUGCUAAUACCGCAUGACGCAUUCGGAUGGCAUCAUCUGAAUGCCAAAGAUUUAU